GUACCGCGGCUGCUGGCACGGAGUUAGCCGGGGCUUCUUCUGCUGGUACCGUCAUUAUCUUCCCAGCUGAAAGAGCUUUACAACCCUAAGGCCUUCAUCGCUCACGCGGCAUGGCUAGAUCAGGGUUUCCCCCAUUGUCUAAGAUUCCCCACUGCUGCCUCCCGUAGGAGUCUGGGCCGUGUCUCAGUCCCAGUGUGGCUGAUCAUCCUCUCAAACCAGCUAUGGAUCGUCGGCUUGGUGAGCCGUUACCUCACCAACUACCUAAUCCAACGCGGGCCGAUCCUUUGCCGAUAAAUCUUUCCCCCGAAGGGCACAUACGGUAUUACUCCCAGUUUCCCGAGGCUAUUCCGUAGCAAAGGGCACGUUCCCACGCGUUACUCACCCGUCCGCCGCUAGACCCGAAGAUCUCGCUCGACUUGCAUGUGUUAGGCCUGCCGCCAGCGUUCGUUCUGAGCCAUGAUCAAACUC
This 468-nucleotide ribosomal RNA is filed under the name uncultured Alphaproteobacteria bacterium. Its description in RNAcentral is "partial 16S ribosomal RNA". Lineage: Bacteria; Pseudomonadati; Pseudomonadota; Alphaproteobacteria. The record is from RNAcentral.